CAGGGACAGACUACAUAGAUGGGGAAUGGGGAUUGAGCAGCAUUGUCCUCUAUGCCAAAUCCAAUCUGAAACAAGGGACCAUCUCCUCAUAGAAUGCCCUGUCACUGUGGAUAUAUGGAGAAGAGUAAUGAACUGACUAAACGAAACAAGGGACCAUCUCCUCACAGAAUGCCCGAUCACUAUGGAUAUAUGGAGAAGAGUAAUGAAUUGGCUAAAGGAACAAUACACACCUAGUGGUAGUUGGAGUCAGAAGAUGCAAUGGUUGAUUGCCAAAGCCAAAGGAAGAACAUGUCGUGCAGCCAUUUUCAAGAUGGUCGCAGCUGAAGUUACAUAUGCUAUCUGGCUGGAGAGGAAUGCAAGAGUUUUCAACAAGACUUUUCGAUGUAAUACUGCUAUACUGAGAGACAUAGUGUACAACUGUAACAUUAGAGGCACC
RNAcentral lists this long non-coding RNA (436 nucleotides) under Nicotiana benthamiana. Its description in RNAcentral is "long non-coding RNA (NBEN_LNC018820)". Lineage: Eukaryota; Viridiplantae; Streptophyta; Magnoliopsida; Solanales; Solanaceae. The record is from RNAcentral.